GAUGAAGAACGUAGCGAAAUGCGAUACUUGGUGUGAAUUGCAGAAUCCCGUGAACCAUCGAGUCUUUGAACGCAAGUUGCGCCCGAAGCCAUUAGGCCGAGGGCACGCCUGCCUGGGCGUCACACGUCGUUGCCCCCCCAUCUACUCCUUCGGGAUUGCGGGGGGCGGAUGAUGGCCUCCCGUGCGCCUCGUCGCGCGGUUGGCAUAAAUACCAAGUCCUCGGCGACGCACGCCACGACAAUCGGUGGUUGCGAAACCUCGGUUGCCCGUCGUGUGCGGUCGUCGCGCAUCGAGGGCUCGAAAAAAUUGCUGGGCUCCGGCUCGGCUUUCAACGCGACCCCAGGUCAGGCGGGGUUACCCGCUGAAUUUAAGCAUAUCAAUAAGCGGAGGA
Molecule: unclassified non-coding RNA, 391 nt
Filed under: soil metagenome
Description: partial contains 5.8S ribosomal RNA, internal transcribed spacer 2, and large subunit ribosomal RNA
Rfam family: 5.8S ribosomal RNA (bases 1-122)
Source: RNAcentral